UCAAAUAACGUGAGGCUGGAGCGGAAACACAUAAUAGAAGUAACUCAGAUUCUCCUUAAUCUUCUUAGAAAAGAAAAAAAGAUUCCCCUUAAUCUAAAACCGAUUUUCUCUUAAGCCUCGUCAUUUUUUGGUCAGUUAGCGAAGACUCAUCAGUUCCCUUAGUUGGCCAACCCCUUUUCUUCGCUUCCAGAGAGAGAGAGAGAGAAUCGGGUGUGCCUUUCGGCAUCAGAAACGAGGGAUGAAAAGGGGUUAGGACUUAUGAGAGAGAUGUGGAGAAGAGAAAAGGCAAGAAAAGAAAAGACUGUUGAAAGGAGUGGAGGCAUAUACAUAUAGCAUAGAGGGGGGGUUUCAUCAGAAACGAGGUGAAUGGGGAAGAAUAACUAUGAUGAUCCUUUGAUCCUUCUAAAUAUACUACUACCCAUGUCAAUGAACCAUCCAAUCUCUGAUUAUUUAUCCGUAUUUUUUGAGUCUCUCUCAGUCUGAAACCACCUCUCUUUCACUUUCCUUAUCAAUUAUUAUUAUUAAUUACACCCCCAUCCCUCUCUCUCUCUCUCUCUCUCUCUUAUUUACUGUACUUGAUCCAUCACAUCUUAAAUAGAACCCAUCUGCCCCCUCUCCUUUCUCCCAUACACAUUAUUACCCACUCUCUCCCCUUCUGCGUGUGUAUAUAUGAGUUUGAAUGUGUGUGUGUGUGUGUGUGGAUCUUCAAAUGGUGAAUACAAGGACUGUGCUUUGCUUUCAUGUGGGUUUAGCAAAGGGUUUCUAACAAAGUUUAUUGGCAUUCUGUCCACCUCCAUCAAUAUAAGAAAAACAUUGUCCUUGUAUCUCUCCCUCUCUCUCUCUCUCAUGGAGGUGGGCAGACUGCCAAGUGAGCUAUGUUGGCUUCUCUUUGUAAGACCCUCGUGAUAUAUGAUGAUAUUUCGCCUCCAGCUUUAGCUGUUCUCAACUGUUGUGUGAUAGAGACCAAGUGGCAGUUUCCGGACUUUGAUGCUUAUCCACUUGAGAGCACCCGAACUUUACUCUUGUUUUGUUCCAUGUUGUGUACUACAAUUUCUCCUUGUGUAAUCUAUGUUGCAGGUUGAGAUAUCUUGUCUUUUUAUAUGGACUUGAUUACAAACAUCAUGCACGGACUCUUCGGUUUCUGUUUGAUCAUAUAUAUGUAGAUCUUGUUUGGCUGCAAUUUGGGAACCCGUAGUUUUCUGACCUUUUUUGGUUUCUCUCACCAAACUUUUUCAAGAGGGUCUUGUUUUUCACUCUAAUUUCUUGUUUGUAUUCUGGCCUAGGGUUUUUUUUUUUUUUUUUUAGUCUCUUUUUUUUUGUGCAUCUAAUUCAGGGAAGCUUCAAGAGAGGGGGAAAAAAAAGCUUUUGAAGGAUGAAGUCAUUAAGGUCUACCUGUUCAUUUUACACAGGAAAAAAAAAA
Quercus lobata is the source of this 1420-nucleotide long non-coding RNA. RefSeq lists it as uncharacterized. The record is from RefSeq and is a predicted model, not a curated record. Lineage: Eukaryota; Viridiplantae; Streptophyta; Magnoliopsida; Fagales; Fagaceae. The transcript is spliced from 2 exons.